AGUGAACGCUGGCGGUAGGCCUAACACAUGCAAGUCGAACGGCAGCACAGUAAGAGCUUGCUCUUACGGGUGGCGAGUGGCGGACGGGUGAGGAAUACAUCGGAAUCUACUUUUUCGUGGGGGAUAACGUAGGGAAACUUACGCUAUUACCGCAUACGACCUACGGGUGAAAGCAGGGGAUCUUCGGACCUUGCGCGAUUGAAUGAGCCGAUGUCGGAUUCGCUAGUUGGCGGGGGAAAGGCCCACGAAUGCGACGAUCCGUAACUGGGCUGAGAGGAUGAUCAGCCACACUGGAACUGAGACACGGUCCAGACUCCUACGGGAGGCAGCAGUGGGGAAUAUUGGACAAAGGGCGCAAGCCUGAUCCAGCCAUACCGCGUGGGUGAAGAAGGCCUUCGGGUUGUAAAGCCCUUUUGUUGGGAAAGAAAAGCAGCAGGUUAACACCCCGCUGUUCUGACGGUACCCAAAGAAUAAGCACCGGCUAACUUCGUG
This 492-nucleotide ribosomal RNA is filed under the name uncultured bacterium. RNAcentral's name for it is "partial 16S ribosomal RNA". It matches the Rfam family "Bacterial small subunit ribosomal RNA", at positions 29 to 507 of the family's 1533-position model. The record is from RNAcentral.